UACGUAGGUGGCUAGCGUUGUCCGGAUUUACUGGGCGUAAAGAGCGCGCAGGCGGUCGUUCAAGUCGAGUGUGAAAGCCCCCCGGCUCAACUGGGGAGGGUCACUCGAUACUGAUCGACUCGAAGGCAGGAGAGGGAAGCGGAAUUCCCGGUGUAGUGGUGAAAUGCGUAGAUAUCGGGAGGAACACCAGUGGCGAAGGCGGCUUUCUGGCCUGCUCUUGACGCUGAGGCGCGAAAGCUAGGGUAGCAAACGGG
Molecule: ribosomal RNA, 254 nt
Filed under: uncultured bacterium
Lineage: Bacteria
Description: partial 16S ribosomal RNA
Rfam family: Bacterial small subunit ribosomal RNA
Source: RNAcentral